AUGGAGGUGCCGGGCAUCGCCGAUUCUCCGUGCCGCCCGAGGAGCGCGCGGUACGCGGUGAAGGGGUACCCCAACUACGCGGAGGAGCCCGACUUCUGCGGCCCCGCCACGCCGUGCCGUCCACGGAGCGCGCGGCAUGCCCGGAAGGGAGGGUCCGUCGGGCGCCUCGGGCACAAGAGGGACGAGGGAGGCGUCCCGGUAAAGAAGCCGGUGCUGCAUUACGUAAGGAGGAAGCAAAGGGAGGCUGCCAAGGCCGCGGAGACGGCGGUGGACAUGCUCGUUCCGUUGCUCCAGGGCAUGGAGGCGGUGGCGCUGGACGGGAGAAAGAGGCGCAGGACAGUCACCGCACCCAUGGCAACGGCGAUGACGCCAUGCGAGGUUUUGGCGCUGCCCAAGGACAACGAGGAGGUGGCGCCCGUGGAUGGUGGGGCCGAUGAGCAUGGCGGUGGCGGCAAGAGCUGGAGGUUGCGUGUGAAGGAAACGCUGCGGGCGUUCAGCAGUAACUACCAUCACUUUGUGCAGCCAGUGUUUUUAAGGCCUGACAUGGUUUGUGUCACAGGAGGAACAACAAAGAGAGCAGGCUGUAAGGCAAGAGCUGAAGGCCUCCAGGGCUCUCAAGCGUCAGGUGUGGCAUUCUCUGUCUUCUAUGAUAAACGAACAGUUUUAGCUGUGAAAUUAGGGUCUCUUUGA
Molecule: ribosomal RNA, 690 nt
Filed under: Triticum aestivum (bread wheat)
Lineage: Eukaryota; Viridiplantae; Streptophyta; Magnoliopsida; Poales; Poaceae
Description: partial small subunit ribosomal RNA
Source: RNAcentral